RNAcentral lists this transfer RNA (73 nucleotides) under Bifidobacteriaceae bacterium. Its description in RNAcentral is "tRNA-Arg". It matches the Rfam family "tRNA". Rfam says of the family: Transfer RNA (tRNA) molecules are approximately 80 nucleotides in length. Their secondary structure includes four short double-helical elements and three loops (D, anti-codon, and T loops). The record is from RNAcentral. Lineage: Bacteria; Bacillati; Actinomycetota; Actinomycetes; Bifidobacteriales; Bifidobacteriaceae.
GCCCCCGUAGCUCAGUGGAUAGAGCAACUGCCUUCUAAGCAGCUGGCCGGAGGUUCGAAUCCUCUCGGGGGCG